AGAGAAAACGUAAAGCAGCUGAGGAUCCAUCCUCCAUUGCCGCUGCAGUGCCAUCCUGCCAUGGCGAUGGCGUCCACCCUUGCGCUCCUCCUCGCACCCCGGCCCGUCCAGGCGAGGCCCACAUCACCUCAUCUCCAAUCCCGCCGCCUCGCUCUUCCUCCUCCCCGACCGGCCACCCUCUCCGCCCCAGCCGCCACCUACCCGCGCAAGGCCGGGCGCCUCCAGCAGCUCAACGCCGCCUCCUGCUGCAGCAAUUCCGCUCCGGCUGCAGGCACCACUGGAGGAAGCGCUACUGGCGUAAAGGAUUGGCGGUUCUUCUUGGCAUGGUACUUGAUGUCUCUCGAUAAGAACCCGAUUGCAACUAAGGCGGUCACUUCUGCUGUCCUAACACUGGCCGGGGACCUCAUCUGCCAGCUUGUAAUUGAUCGAGUUCCAGCACUUGAUUUAAGGAGAACAUUUGUAUUCACAUUUUUGGGGCUUGCCCUCGUGGGGCCAACUUUACAUGUCUGGUACCUUUAUUUGAGUAAAUUAGUGACAAUCAGCGGAGCAUCAGGUGCCAUUGCUCGCCUUUUACUUGAUCAGUUCAUUUUCGCUCCCAUUUUCAUCGGCAUUUUUAUGAGCUUACUAGUCACCUUGGAGGGAAAGCCCUCUCUUGUAGUGCCACAGCUUAAGCAGGAGUGGUUAUCAUCAGUGUUGGCAAAUUGGCAAUUAUGGAUACCGUUUCAGUUUCUGAAUUUUUACUUUGUUCCUCAGAAGUUUCAGGUGCUUGCUGCUAAUUUUGUAGCCCUUGCAUGGAACGUGAUUUUGUCAUUUAAGGCUCACAAGGAGGUUAUUGCGAAAUAGAUGGCUGUCCGGCGAGCAAUUUUCCCUAGAACAGUAUAUCUGUGAUAGUGCAUGCACAUAUUUCUCUUUCCUGAUUACUUAAUGAUAUUGAAACUGAUGUGCGCUAUAUGAUGACAUGCAUCAUGGAAGUAGCUGGAAUAGUGGACCAGCAUCCACCAAAGUGUUUUUUUAUAGGUUUAGGAAUACACUGUCCGCUCAUCCUGGGCUCCACUAAGACACGUGUUUGAACUGUGACUGUGUAUCAAAUUUUUUCUUGCUUUUUUGUUCCUACUAUCAAAUAAAAUAGGGAGAUAAGGUUCGCAUACUAAUCCCCUUAACAAAUGGUUAUUGUUCCUUGGCUUAUCUUUUCUGCCACCCGAAAGCAACCUUGUGGACUUGUUCUGAAGUUAUUGUCACUUGUCAUCCCAAAAGUCAGAGUGUCAGACCAGGAUAACUUCCUAUGCCUUUUGCAAUUCAACAUGAUGUUGAUUGAUGCUAAAGAUGUUUUUUGUUCUUUUGCAUCUUGUGGCUAACCUUGGCAUCUAGAUAGAAGCCUCUGUGUGCGUGGUCAAAAUGUUGUUCCGGCUUUGUAUGGUCUGACUUGAUUGCCAGCAUCACAAACUGUAUGGCACAUUGCGGAUUUUAUGUCAAUUUUACUGUGGUGAUGAAACGUCUCACUAUUUGUCUCCCCAUCCCGAACUCCAAUAAGACGUGUUUUAAUAGUAGUUAGUGAAAUGAAAGGGUUAAAGAGAGGAGGCGGCAGUAGGCAUUGUGUAUGCCUCUGAGCUUCUCUUCCCUUUUCCUUUUGGCCAGCCCAGGUCUGUUUCUCUUUGCUUUAUUCCAUGACAAUGAGCUUUCAUUCCUGGACCUAUUUUUCUGCCACCCAGGGAAGUAAGCAGCACUGUGGAUGACUUGUGACUGCUGGUUGUAACUUGACCUCCAAAGUCAGACCUGUCAGCUUCCACCUUUAGCAAUUUAUAAUACAAUCCUGACUGAUGCCAGAAGAUACCUUUUAUUCUUUUGCAAAAAGUCUUAAAAAAUCAAAGAGAUGGAUGUGGUCAAAAUAUUGCUGUUCCGGAUUACAUUCUUCCAUGGCUCAUGGCUGGCAGCACUAUUAACGCAUUGUGUGAGCAGUAGAAGUUGAUUUUCUUGCUGUAUUCGAACUUAAGAAUUAGUAGGUCGUUCUAUAUUCCAUCAA
Setaria italica (foxtail millet) is the source of this 2020-nucleotide RNA transcript. It is a transcript of the gene named protein sym-1, with no coding region annotated. Lineage: Eukaryota; Viridiplantae; Streptophyta; Magnoliopsida; Poales; Poaceae. The record is from RefSeq and is a predicted model, not a curated record. The transcript has 9 exons.